UACAGAGGGGGCGAGCGUUAUUCGGAAUUAUUGGGCGUAAAGGGCGCGUAGGCGGCUUUUCAAGUGACGGGUGAAAUCCCUCGGCCUAACCGAGGAACUGCCUGUCAGACUGGAAGGCUUGAGACCGGGAGAGGUGAGUGGAAUUCCCAGUGUAGCGGUGAAAUGCGUAGAUAUUGGGAGGAACACCAGUGGCGAAGGCGGCUCACUGGACCGGAACUGACGCUGAGGCGCGAAAGCGUGGGGAGCAAACAGG
This 253-nucleotide ribosomal RNA is filed under the name uncultured bacterium. RNAcentral's name for it is "partial 16S ribosomal RNA". It matches the Rfam family "Bacterial small subunit ribosomal RNA", at positions 524 to 776 of the family's 1533-position model. The record is from RNAcentral.